GCGGAGUGCGGUGGCGCACGCCUGUAAUCCCAAUAGCUCAGGAGGCUGAGGCAGGAGGAUCGCAAGUUCAAAGCCAGCCUCAGCAACUUCGAGAUGCUAAGCAACUCAGUGAGACCCUGUCUCUA
Molecule: small RNA, 125 nt
Filed under: Marmota monax (woodchuck)
Lineage: Eukaryota; Metazoa; Chordata; Mammalia; Rodentia; Sciuridae
Source: RNAcentral